Molecule: non-coding RNA, 30 nt
Filed under: Mus musculus (house mouse)
Lineage: Eukaryota; Metazoa; Chordata; Mammalia; Rodentia; Muridae
Source: RNAcentral
UGUGAGAUGGCACCAACCUUGUGCAGGAGC